CUCACAACCAGAGACCAGCCUGUGUUGCCAGUCCUGCUGGUGACUCUUGAGUCUCAAAGACCUCUUGUGGGAUCAUGAGACACCAAGAACUUGCAAGCAGCAUGCAAGACACUAAGAUGCUGAAGGAGUUGGUACAGUGCUCAAAGUGCGGAAGUCCCUGUCUCUGAGGGAAGAGAGGAAUUUUCUGAACACAGCAGCACUGCCCAGGCAAUGCAUUCUGGCAGGUGUCACCCACAUCACCUAUGUGAUGCUGCAACAUCUAAUAAAAUCCCAGUGUCCAAGA
This 283-nucleotide long non-coding RNA is filed under the name Numida meleagris (helmeted guineafowl). RNAcentral's name for it is "lncRNA (ENSNMEG00000015326.1)". Lineage: Eukaryota; Metazoa; Chordata; Aves; Galliformes; Numididae. The record is from RNAcentral.